RNAcentral lists this ribosomal RNA (429 nucleotides) under Chloroflexota bacterium. Its description in RNAcentral is "Chloroflexi bacterium partial 16S ribosomal RNA". It matches the Rfam family "Bacterial small subunit ribosomal RNA", at positions 355 to 776 of the family's 1533-position model. The record is from RNAcentral. Lineage: Bacteria; Bacillati; Chloroflexota.
UGGGGAAUAUUGCACAAUGGGCGCAAGCCUGAUGCAGCCAUGCCGCGUGUGUGAAGAAGGCCUUCGGGUUGUAAAGCACUUUCAGCGGGGAGGAAGGCGAUAAGGUUAAUAACCUCAUCGAUUGACGUUACCCGCAGAAGAAGCACCGGCUAACUCCGUGCCAGCAGCCGCGGUAAUACGGAGGGUGCAAGCGUUAAUCGGAAUUACUGGGCGUAAAGCGCACGCAGGCGGUCUGUCAAGUCGGAUGUGAAAUCCCCGGGCUCAACCUGGGAACUGCAUUCGAAACUGGCAGGCUAGAGUCUUGUAGAGGGGGGUAGAAUUCCAGGUGUAGCGGUGAAAUGCGUAGAGAUCUGGAGGAAUACCGGUGGUGAAGGCGGCCCCCUGGACAAAGACUGACGCUCAGGUGCGAAAGCGUGGGGAGCAAACAGG